AUUGAACGCUGGCGGCAUGCUUUACACAUGCAAGUCGAACGGCAGCGCGGGCUUCGGCCUGGCGGCGAGUGGCGAACGGGUGAGUAAUACAUCAGAACGUGCCCAGUAGUGGGGGAUAGCUCGGCGAAAGCCGGAUUAAUACCGCAUACGACCUGAGGGUGAAAGCGGGGGAUCUUCGGACCUCGCGCUAUUGGAGCGGCCGAUGGCAGAUUAGCUAGUUGGUGGGGUAAAGGCCUACCAAGGCGACGAUCUGUAGCUGGUCUGAGAGGACGACCAGCCACACUGGGAGUGAGACACGGCCCAGACUCCUACGGGAGGCAGCAGUGGGGAAUUUUGGACAAUGGGCGAAAGCCUGAUCCAGCAAUGCCGCGUGUGUGAUGAAGGCCUUCGGGUUGUAAAGCACUUUUGGCGGGAACGAAAAGGACUGUGCCAAUACCACGGUUCGAUGACGGUACCCGCAGAAUAAGCACCGGCUAACUACGUG
Molecule: ribosomal RNA, 484 nt
Filed under: uncultured bacterium
Lineage: Bacteria
Description: partial 16S ribosomal RNA
Rfam family: Bacterial small subunit ribosomal RNA
Source: RNAcentral